GGCGGUAGGAAGGCGGCUGUCGCUUUUAAAAAGCGGCUGCCGCCGGCGGUGCGCCGUCAAACGUGUUUACGAUAUCGCCAUUCUGCCGCUUCUACUGCCGCCGGAGCACCGCCAGCGGACCGCCGACUUAUUGCUAUCUGGUUUUCAUCGGUGAUUACCACAAUGACGUACUUCAGAGAGAGAGAGGAUUCACUCUAUCUUUUGGCUGAUGUCACUGCAACUCCAGCAGAUGUAGAGAGAAACUUCACUGUUCCCAGCAUCCCAAGGUGAUUGCACUUGGAGAUUCUGUUCUCCAAGCAAAAACAUGGAUGCUAACUAUGGAGGGCGGCGUCAUCAUCCAGCUGCAGGAGCUAACAGAUUUUUCAUCAGCAUUAGCUGUCCGGUUUGGCUGCUACUAUGUAUUCAAUGUGCAGUACCAGGAAGAGGCGGCCAGUACACUGGAGUUUAUUCAGAUGUUCAUUCUGAGAAUCAACCCUGAUGGCACCAAAUAGCAAUCAAAGUCACACAUCAGCUAAAAAUCUGGAUAGAGGAUGCAAAGAAAAAGCAUCAGUCUGAAUCUCCCUGUAGCAUCUCUCAUCAGAGAGAUUGUUGAUUGUUAUUGGCAAAAUUACUAAAAAGUAACAACAAACUGAUUGUGGCAGCGGGCGCUUGACCACACCCCCGCUGCCACAUAGCCACCAGAAGAAGUGGUGGAACUGUUACAUUGUGAAAGUCUAAAAGAGUGUAAAUUAAAGAGUGUUACCUUUGAAGCCAAAACGCUGUUUCCCGUGUCUUCCUUAGUGGAAACCUUUACACUGAUUUUUUUAUUGCAUUUUAUUUUGGCUUGUAUCACUUUGAA
This is a long non-coding RNA of Xyrauchen texanus (razorback sucker), 838 nucleotides long. RefSeq lists it as uncharacterized. The record is from RefSeq and is a predicted model, not a curated record. NCBI's taxonomy places the organism in Eukaryota, Metazoa, Chordata, Actinopteri, Cypriniformes, Catostomidae. The transcript has 5 exons.